GGCAUAUUGACUUAGGAAAUAAGCGUAAGACUCUCAUGGUUAACCGUUUCGCCUAUUGCGCGCACGGUUCGGCUUAUGAAACUACCCCUACGGGGCGUAAUAUUAACUUAAACUCGUUACGGGCAUCACGGAAGGUAUCCUACUGAUACCACAACCUCUUUAAGGCAUAUUGACUUAGGAAAUAAGCGUAAGACUCUCAUGGUUAACCGUUUCGCCUAUUGCGCGCACGGUUCG
RNAcentral lists this long non-coding RNA (234 nucleotides) under Helianthus annuus (common sunflower). Its description in RNAcentral is "hypothetical non coding rna". Lineage: Eukaryota; Viridiplantae; Streptophyta; Magnoliopsida; Asterales; Asteraceae. The record is from RNAcentral.